This 465-nucleotide ribosomal RNA is filed under the name Vreelandella stevensii. RNAcentral describes it as "partial 16S ribosomal RNA". It matches the Rfam family "Bacterial small subunit ribosomal RNA", at positions 338 to 795 of the family's 1533-position model. Lineage: Bacteria; Pseudomonadati; Pseudomonadota; Gammaproteobacteria; Oceanospirillales; Halomonadaceae. The record is from RNAcentral.
CCUACGGGGAGCAGCAGUGGGGAAUAUUGGACAAUGGGCGAAAGCCUGAUCCAGCCAUGCCGCGUGUGUGAAGAAGGCCUUCGGGUUGUAAAGCACUUUCAGUGGGGAAGAAAGCCUUGGGGCUAAUACCCUCGAGGAAGGACAUCACCCACAGAAGAAGCACCGGCUAACUCCGUGCCAGCAGCCGCGGUAAUACGGAGGGUGCGAGCGUUAAUCGGAAUUACUGGGCGUAAAGCGCGCGUAGGCGGUCUGAUAAGCCGGUUGUGAAAGCCCCGGGCUCAACCUGGGAACGGCAUCCGGAACUGUCAGGCUAGAGUGCAGGAGAGGAAGGUAGAAUUCCCGGUGUAGCAGUGAAAUGCGUAGAGAUCGGGAGGAAUACCAGUGGCGAAGGCGGCCUUCUGGACUGACACUGACGCUGAGGUGCGAAAGCGUGGGUAGCAAACAGGAUUAGAUACCCGGGUAGUC